Long non-coding RNA from Xiphophorus maculatus (southern platyfish), 471 nucleotides. RefSeq lists it as uncharacterized. The transcript has 4 exons. The record is from RefSeq and is a predicted model, not a curated record. NCBI's taxonomy places the organism in Eukaryota, Metazoa, Chordata, Actinopteri, Cyprinodontiformes, Poeciliidae.
GCUGGACCCGGCUGGGAUCUUUGGACACCUGCAGAGGGAUCGUCACCGUGCCACAGGGCUUGUUGUUUAUCUGAGGGCAGGAAACAGAAGCCAUAAUCUGCCAGGUUUUCCAGACUCUGCCCAUCAGCUGGACCCGUGUGCUUUUCCAGUGUGUUGAAAGCUUAUGCACGUACGUGUGUCAACAACAAUAAAGGCUACCCGGCCAAGUUUCCACAUGAGGCACAAAAGCAGCGAGGGGUUCGGAACGUCACCGAGUUGUCGAGCUCCUCUUAGCUUUGUCACAAGCUGCCAAAGUCGAGACUGCCAACGCAGAACCCCUGCAAGUGCAUCAGCUGGAACACAAACAAGAGGACAGAAAGAAUAUUCUGACACUUCAUGUAGCAGCCAGGCUCACUCUUGACGUUCCAGAGGAUAUCUUGCUCGGGAGGAGCAGCGUAAAGGAUGUAGAGACGGACGGUGUCCACACCGUAC